RNAcentral lists this ribosomal RNA (435 nucleotides) under Spiralizoros cervicornis. Its description in RNAcentral is "partial 16S ribosomal RNA". It matches the Rfam family "Archaeal large subunit ribosomal RNA", at positions 1922 to 2615 of the family's 2987-position model. Lineage: Eukaryota; Metazoa; Arthropoda; Insecta; Zoraptera; Spiralizoridae. The record is from RNAcentral.
UCUUUUUGAUUUUUAUAUAAGGUUUAAUCUGCCCAAUGAAUAUUUUAAAUGGCUGCGGUAAUUUGACCGUACAAAGGUAGCAUAAUCAUUAGUUUAUUAAUUGUAAACUGGAAUGAAUGAUUGGACAAGAGAUUUACUGUUUCUGGCAUAUUAAAAUGAAUUUUAUUUGUUAGUGAAAAAGCUGACAUGAGCAUGAAAGACGAGAAGACCCUGUAGAUCUUUAUACGAAAUUAUAAUAAGGUGUUAUUUAGUAGUAGGGUAUUUAGUUGGGGUAAUUAUAUUUAGAAAAUGGGUUUAUAAAUUAAUAUAGAAUGAUAAAAUUUUGACCUAUUAUUAUAGUUGUAUGAUUAAGAUACCUCAGGGAUAACAGCAUAAUUUAAUUUAGGAGUUCUAAUUUUAGGUUAAGUUUGUGACCUCGAUGUUGGAUUAAGAAUA